UCAGAAUAAACCAUGGGAGGCCGAGAAUGUGUUGUCCCAGCAAGUGACAGCAGUGCAGUAACAUCUGUUGAUCAGCAGGUCAUCCGCAGGUGAAACUAAAAACAGUGUUUUGGAUUUGAGCUGAGAGAGGUGUAUAAUGAGAAGCCAAAUAAAGAUGCCGGCUUUUGUGA
This 170-nucleotide long non-coding RNA is filed under the name Urocitellus parryii (Arctic ground squirrel). RNAcentral's name for it is "lncRNA (ENSUPAG00010006833.1)". Lineage: Eukaryota; Metazoa; Chordata; Mammalia; Rodentia; Sciuridae. The record is from RNAcentral.